GACGAACGCUGGCGGCGUGCCUAAUACAUGCAAGUAGAACGCUGAAGAGAGGAGCUUGCUCUUCUUGGAAGAGUUGCGAACGGGUGAGUAACGCGUAGGUAACCUGCCUUGUAGCGGGGGAUAACUAUUGGAAACGAUAGCUAAUACCGCAUAACAAUGGGUGACCCAUGUCAUUCAUUUGAAAGGGGCAACUGCUCCACUACAAGAUGGACCUGCGUUGUAUUAGCUAGUAGGUGAGGUAACGGCUCACCUAGGCGACGAUACAUAGCCGACCUGAGAGGGUGAUCGGCCACACUGGGACUGAGACACGGCCCAGACUCCUACGGGAGGCAGCAGUAGGGAAUCUUCGGCAAUGGGGGCAACUCUGACCGAGCAACGCCGCGUGAGUGAAGAAGGUUUUCGGAUCGUAAAGCUCUGUUGUAAGUCAAGAACGAGUGUGAGAGUGGAAAGUUCACACUGUGACGGUAGCUUACCAGAAAGGGACGGCUAACUACGUGCCAGCAGCCGCGGUAAUACGUAGGUCCCGAGCGUUGUCCGGAUUUAUUGGGCGUAAAGCGAGCGCAGGCGGUUUGAUAAGUCUGAAGUUAAAGGCUGUGGCUCAACCAUAGUUCGCUUUGGAAACUGUCAAACUUGAGUGCAGAAGGGGAGAGUGGAAUUCCAUGUGUAGCGGUGAAAUGCGUAGAUAUAUGGAGGAACACCGGUGGCGAAAGCGGCUCUCUGGUCUGUAACUGACGCUGAGGCUCGAAAGCGUGGGGAGCGAACAGG
This 765-nucleotide ribosomal RNA is filed under the name uncultured Streptococcus sp. RNAcentral describes it as "bacterial SSU rRNA". It matches the Rfam family "Bacterial small subunit ribosomal RNA", at positions 28 to 776 of the family's 1533-position model. Lineage: Bacteria; Bacillati; Bacillota; Bacilli; Lactobacillales; Streptococcaceae. The record is from RNAcentral.